AUGGAAAGGAUGGCAUGCUCAUACUUCAAAGAGGUUUUCACCAAGGAUCCGACCCUGGAUCCGACCAAGGUUCUGGAUACUAUCACCCCUAAAGUCUCGCUGGAGAUGAAUGAGGCCUUAUGCAGAGCGUAUACGGAGGAGGAGAUAUCCAAUGCGUUGUUUCAGAUUGGUCCGUUGAAAGCCCCGGGAUGUGAUGGUUUCCCGGACAGGUUCUACCAACGGAACUGGGAGACUCUUAAGGUGGAAAUCGUGGCAGCGGUACAGGAGUUCUUUACUAGGGGAAUCAUGCCGGAUGGUGUUAAUGACACGACUAUUGUGUUAAUUCCCAAAGUGCAACAUCCGCAAGAACUCAAAGAUUUUAGACCCAUUAGCUUAUGCAAUGUGGUGUACAAAAUUGUCUCCAAGUGCAUGGUAAAUAGGCUUCGGCCACUGUUGGAUGAGCUAAUUUCUGAAAAUCAGAGUGCCUUCGUCCCUGGUAGACUUAUCUCUGACAACUCCACAAUUGCUUUUGAAUGUAUCCACCACAUACAAAACGUCAGGCAAAAUUCUUCGCCAUGGUGUUCUUACAAGCUGGAUCUUUCAAAGGCGUAUGAUCGUGUUGACUGGAACUUUUUGGAGAGGGCUCUGUCCAAGUGGGGUUUCUGUGGUGCUUGGAUAUCCCGUGUUAUGUUAUGCGUUACAUCUAUGAGGUAUUCUGUGAAAUUCAAUGGCAAGUUACUGGAGGCUUUCUCCCCCUCAAGAGGGCUCCGUCAAGGUGACCCCUUAUCACCCUUUCUCUUCCUCUUUGUGGCUGAUACACUGUCUGCCCUGUUGCAUAAAUCAGUGAGAGAGGAUGGCCUACAAGGGGUCAAGAUAUGCAGGUCUGCCCCGGUGAUUACGCAUCUUUUGUUUGCAGACGACUCACUCCUAUUUUUUCAAGCCUCGGAACAGCAAGCUAAUUUGGUUAAGAGUGUGUUGAACACGUAUUCGGCGGCGACUGGACAAUUGAUUAACCCAUCGAAGUGCUCCAUCCUCUUUUCAGAAAAUUGUUUGCCAUCUGUGAUACAUGAGGUGAAGUCGGUCUUGGAAAUAACCCAGGAAGUUUUUGAGCCUAAGUAUUUGGGCCUCCCGGUCCCGGAAGGAAGAGUACAUAGGGGAAACUUUGAAACCCUCCAGGAUCGGUUACGAAAGAAACUUAUUGAUUGGAGCAAACAAUACGUGUCUGCUGGAAAUAAGGAAAUAUUGAUCAAGGCAGUCGCACAGGCGAUACCUACUUAUGUCAUGAGCGUCUUUAAGUUACCUACAUCGGUAUGCGAUGAGCUGACUCGCAUGAUCCGCCAGUAUUGGUGGGGCGUUGAGAAUGGGAAGAAGAAGAUGGCAUGGAUGAGUUGGGACAAGUUACGACUACCAAAAUCUAUGGGUGGCAUGGGGUUUAAGGAUAUGCGGGCUUACAAUCAAGCUUUACCGGCCAAGCAAGCUUGGAGAUUGCUAGAUUCACCGGAUAGCCUAUGUGCAUGGCUCUUGAAAGCUUGUUACUACCCGACGGGACAACCUUUGGAUACCUCAUUCUCUGGUAAUGGCUCUUCUGCUUGGAAGGGCAUACUUCAUGGUCUUGACCUGCUG
Molecule: ribosomal RNA, 1602 nt
Filed under: Triticum aestivum (bread wheat)
Lineage: Eukaryota; Viridiplantae; Streptophyta; Magnoliopsida; Poales; Poaceae
Description: partial small subunit ribosomal RNA
Source: RNAcentral